Non-coding RNA from Exophiala spinifera, 86 nucleotides. The record is from the annotation of a RefSeq genome assembly. NCBI's taxonomy places the organism in Eukaryota, Fungi, Ascomycota, Eurotiomycetes, Chaetothyriales, Herpotrichiellaceae.
GCAUCAAUGGUUCAGCGGUAGAAUUGGUCGUUGCCAGCCUCAAAAGCGAUCUCGACUAGACCCCGGUUCGACUCCGGGUUGAUGCA